CCUACGGGUGGCAGCAGUGAGGAAUAUUGGUCAAUGGGCGCGAGUCUGAACCAGCCAUGCCGCGUGCAGGAUGACUGCCCUAUGGGUUGUAAACUGCUUUUGUAAAGGGAUAAACUGAGACACGCGUGCCUUUUUGUAUGUACUUUAUGAAUAAGGAUCGGCUAACUCCGUGCCAGCAGCCGCGGUAAUACGGAGGAUCCGAGCGUUAUCCGGAUUUAUUGGGUUUAAAGGGAGCGUAGAUGGGUUGUUAAGUCAGUGGUGAAAGUUUGCGGCUCAACCGUGAAAUUGCAAUUGAUACUGUCAGUCUAGAGUACAGUUGAGGUAGGCGGAAUGCGUGGUGUAGCGGUGAAAUGCUUAGAGAUCACGAAGAACUCCGAUUGCGAAGGCAGCUUACUAAACUACCACUGACGUUGAUGCUCGAAAGUGUGGGUAGCAAACAGGAUUAGAUACCCUGGUAGUC
RNAcentral lists this ribosomal RNA (460 nucleotides) under uncultured bacterium. RNAcentral describes it as "partial 16S ribosomal RNA". It matches the Rfam family "Bacterial small subunit ribosomal RNA", at positions 338 to 795 of the family's 1533-position model. The record is from RNAcentral.